GACGAACGCUGGCGGCAUGCCUAACACAUGCAAGUCUAGGGGUAGCAAUACCACUGGCGCACGGGUGAGUAACACGUAGGUUAUCUGCCCCCAUCACAGACAUAACCCCGGGAAACCGGGGCUAAUAUCUGAUGAGGUCGCGAGAUCAAAGCUUCGGCGGAGUGGGGAGUGAGCCUGCGGCUGAUUAGCUAGUUGGUGAGGUAAUGGCUCACCAAGGCGACGAUCAGUAGCUGGUCUGAGAGGACGAACAGCCACACUGGAACUGAGACACGGUCCAGACUCCUACGGGAGGCAGCAGUGAGGAAUAUUGGUCAAUGGGAGCAAUCCUGAACCAGCAAUGCCGCGUGUGGGAUGACAGGGCUUCGCCUUGUAAACCACUGUCGGACGGGACGAAAGGAGGCCUCGGGCCUCUGGGACGGUACCGUCGAAAGGAAGGGUCGGCUAACUACGUGCCAGCAGCCGCGGUAAU
This 469-nucleotide ribosomal RNA is filed under the name uncultured bacterium. RNAcentral describes it as "bacterial SSU rRNA". It matches the Rfam family "Bacterial small subunit ribosomal RNA", at positions 28 to 524 of the family's 1533-position model. The record is from RNAcentral.